RNAcentral lists this ribosomal RNA (1171 nucleotides) under Citrobacter youngae. RNAcentral's name for it is "partial 23S ribosomal RNA". It matches the Rfam family "Bacterial large subunit ribosomal RNA", at positions 1762 to 2925 of the family's 2925-position model. RNAcentral also lists the same sequence under 1 other name. Lineage: Bacteria; Pseudomonadati; Pseudomonadota; Gammaproteobacteria; Enterobacterales; Enterobacteriaceae. The record is from RNAcentral.
UGGAGCUGAAAUCAGUCGAAGAUACCAGCUGGCUGCAACUGUUUAUUAAAAACACAGCACUGUGCAAACACGAAAGUGGACGUAUACGGUGUGACGCCUGCCCGGUGCCGGAAGGUUAAUUGAUGGGGUUAUCCGUAAGGAGAAGCUCUUGAUCGAAGCCCCGGUAAACGGCGGCCGUAACUAUAACGGUCCUAAGGUAGCGAAAUUCCUUGUCGGGUAAGUUCCGACCUGCACGAAUGGCGUAAUGAUGGCCAGGCUGUCUCCACCCGAGACUCAGUGAAAUUGAACUCGCUGUGAAGAUGCAGUGUACCCGCGGCAAGACGGAAAGACCCCGUGAACCUUUACUAUAGCUUGACACUGAACACUGGUCCUUGAUGUGUAGGAUAGGUGGGAGGCUUUGAAGUGUGGACGCCAGUCUGCAUGGAGCCAACCUUGAAAUACCACCCUUUAAUGGCUGGUGUUCUAACGUGGACCCGUGAUCCGGGUUGCGGACAGUGUCUGGUGGGUAGUUUGACUGGGGCGGUCUCCUCCUAAAGAGUAACGGAGGAGCACGAAGGUUAGCUAAUCCUGGUCGGACAUCAGGAGGUUAGUGCAAAGGCAUAAGCUAGCUUGACUGCGAGAGUGACGGCUCGAGCAGGUGCGAAAGCAGGUCUUAGUGAUCCGGUGGUUCUGAAUGGAAGGGCCAUCGCUCAACGGAUAAAAGGUACUCCGGGGAUAACAGGCUGAUACCGCCCAAGAGUUCAUAUCGACGGCGGUGUUUGGCACCUCGAUGUCGGCUCAUCACAUCCUGGGGCUGAAGUAGGUCCCAAGGGUAUGGCUGUUCGCCAUUUAAAGUGGUACGCGAGCUGGGUUUAGAACGUCGUGAGACAGUUCGGUCCCUAUCUGCCGUGGGCGCUGGAGAAUUGAGGGGGGCUGCUCCUAGUACGAGAGGACCGGAGUGGACGCAUCACUGGUGUUCGGGUUGUCAUGCCAAUGGCAUUGCCCGGUAGCUAAAUGCGGAAGAGAUAAGUGCUGAAAGCAUCUAAGCACGAAACUUGCCCCGAGAUGAGUUCUCCCUGAGACUAUAAGUCUCCUGAAGGAACGUUGAAGACGACGACGUUGAUAGGUCGGGUGUGUAAGUGUAGCGAUACAUUGAGCUAACCGAUACUAAUGAACCGUGAGGCUUAACCUU